Molecule: long non-coding RNA, 325 nt
Filed under: Capsella rubella
Lineage: Eukaryota; Viridiplantae; Streptophyta; Magnoliopsida; Brassicales; Brassicaceae
Description: long non-coding RNA (CRUB_LNC003198)
Source: RNAcentral
UUUUUUUUUUUUUGGACAAAAAAUAUAACUGUCAUGCAACACGACAAAUCAAUCAUUUGAUAAAAGAAGUAUAGCAAAAAUUAUAUUAAAUAGACAGGUCAUGCAUGACAUUACGAAUAAACUAAAAUAAUCUAAAACCAACCAACACAACAAGCCUAUGUUAAUGUUACUAUCUUUUUUUUUUUUUUGAUAUGAGAACUAAUAAUUUUGUUAAUCUACUAAAGCAAAAAAUUUGAUGAUAAAUAUAAAACAAAAAUAUAUACUGUAUGUAGGCAUGUCAAUUAGGGCUAAACCCCGCGGGCUAGUUUGGUCCGGCCCUGAAAAA